AGAAUGCGCACUUCUUGUUUAGAAAACUUGUAUUAAUAUCUUACUUUUUUGACAAACUUUUGAUGAAAUGGAUUCUUUGCUAGUGAGUAGUGACACCCUAUAUCAUUCUGCUUACUUUUAAGUAAUCAGCCCCUGCUGCCAUGGCUUGUAUUUCUGAUGGAGCAAAUAAACCACAAGCUAGUUGCCAUCUAUAUCAUCCAGCUCCCGAUGGGGUAAAUAUUAACCAAAAAAAUAUUUGCAGCAUCUUCCCUUGUGAAUAUAGGUAGUUCAUUUUCUGUAGUGGCAGAGCUAGAU
Molecule: unclassified non-coding RNA, 294 nt
Filed under: Hevea brasiliensis (rubber tree)
Lineage: Eukaryota; Viridiplantae; Streptophyta; Magnoliopsida; Malpighiales; Euphorbiaceae
Source: RNAcentral